Molecule: unclassified non-coding RNA, 144 nt
Filed under: uncultured Lophiostoma
Lineage: Eukaryota; Fungi; Ascomycota; Dothideomycetes; Pleosporales; Lophiostomataceae
Description: sequence contains ITS2
Source: RNAcentral
ACACCUUCAAGCGCAGCUUGGUGUUGGGCGUCUGUCCUCCGGGACUCGCCUCAAAAAGAUUGGCAGCCACUUCAGCGGCUUUGAGCGCAGCAGAAUUGCGUCCUCUAGCAGCGGAAGGCGGCAUCCACAAGCUUUUUUUCCAGU